GUUGUUGUCGUCCUUGCAUAUCAUAUUUGAAGAUUGAUGAGCUGAAAAACUUUCAAAGAUGAAAUGCUGAGGACUAUUGCCAUGCAACUGAUUAAAUAAUGAGUUAAUUCCGAGCUGAACUCGCGGAGGAAGUCGUAGAAUUAUUUCCGUUCAAUCUGCUUCCGUUAUGAGCAACCAUAUCAUCGUUGUGUCUCUGCUCAACGUUUGAAGGUAUGUUGUUGUCCGUGUUAUUUUCCCGUGUCUCGAGCUGUCCCAUAGAAGUACUUCGAGAAAACAAUCUCUCUUUCCACCCGCGUGUACUCUUUGAGAUUGAUUCUCUAUAUUUCAUUGACAUUGAAUUAAAUCGAGAUUUCCAGGAUUCCGAUAAUGAAUGAAGAAGGUCUGAUGGUCCUUCGGUAUCCUCGUUUUCUGUCAAAGAUGGACCAGAAGAGCUUCUAUCGCCAACAGAUAUUUCUUGUUUAACGGUUUGUGGGCGAACAUAUCGAGAUGAUGAAGCAGAAAGUUGAUUACUUUGACCAGAUGAGAGGUGAGGCAAGAACUGUGCAGUCUCAUGGCGGACAGGUGUUAUAGGAACAGAAGGAUCAGCUAUAGCUUGACGAGAAUCCGAUUCAGCAGCAGCAGUAGGAGAUGGAUCAGGAUGAGAUGAAAACACUAAAAAAUGCGGACGACCAUGGGGAGAUGGCCGAUUUCUUGAUCCCUCUCGUUGACCAAAGUGGUGUCCCCGUCCCAUUGCUGCAGCAGCAGCCAAAUGCUGAAUAAUGCGCUCUUCGAGUUCAGACUCACUCAUACCCGUGGUCAACAGCGUAGGACGACGAAACAUCGUAGCGUUUCUUGCCUGAUUAAACCUAAUAGUCCUCUCUUGUUCCACUGCCUCAAGCAAUUCUUGACUU
Molecule: unclassified non-coding RNA, 890 nt
Filed under: Hevea brasiliensis (rubber tree)
Lineage: Eukaryota; Viridiplantae; Streptophyta; Magnoliopsida; Malpighiales; Euphorbiaceae
Source: RNAcentral